GGCGCUGGCAGCCUCUAGCCCUCUACACGCCGUCCCUCCUGCUCCUGCUCUCCACACGCCGCCGGAGAAACGCGGCGGAACGCCCAGCACGGGCUGCACGGCAGGUCGGCACUCGGUAGCACAUCCCUCCCGGUGGUCCGGCCCUCCGCCGUCCCAGCACGACAGCACUUCCGGCGACCAGGUCCUAGGCUCCCAGCGUCCGGCGGUCCCAGCAGUCCAGCACGACAGUGACAGCACUUCGGGACCACGGCUCCGCGCGUUCUGCUGUGCAGGUUCUAGCCUCUGCCGUGCUCACUGCCUCUGCCUCUGCCGUUCUGCUGUGCAGGUCACCUCCGCGCGUUCUCCCAGGCUCACUGCCUCUGCCGUGCAGGUUCUAGCGUUCUGCUGUCCACGGCUCCGCGCGUCCAGGAGGAUGUGUAUUCCAAGUUUUGGUAUUCCAAGUUUACUGCCUUGUUGGUAUUCAAAGUUAAAUGUACC
This 477-nucleotide long non-coding RNA is filed under the name Zea mays. RNAcentral's name for it is "drought responsive lncRNA". Lineage: Eukaryota; Viridiplantae; Streptophyta; Magnoliopsida; Poales; Poaceae. The record is from RNAcentral.